This 496-nucleotide ribosomal RNA is filed under the name uncultured bacterium. Its description in RNAcentral is "partial 16S ribosomal RNA". It matches the Rfam family "Bacterial small subunit ribosomal RNA", at positions 30 to 507 of the family's 1533-position model. The record is from RNAcentral.
CGAACGCUGGCGGCGUGCCUAAUACAUGCACGUCGAGCGGACGAUUCGAAAGCUUGCUUUUGAAUCGUUAGCGGCGGACGGGUGAUUAACACGUGGGCAACCUGCCCUGUAGACGGGGAUAACACCGAGAAAUCGGUGCUAAUACCGGAUAACACGAAAUGUCGCAUGACGUUUCGUUGAAAGGCGGCGCAAGCUGCCGCUACAGGAUGGGCCCGCGGCGCAUUAGCUAGUUGGUGAGGUAACGGCUCACCAAGGCGACGAUGCGUAGCCGACCUGAGAGGGUGAUCGGCCACACUGGGACUGAGACACGGCCCAGACUCCUACGGGAGGCAGCAGUAGGGAAUCUUCCGCAAUGGACGAAAGUCUGACGGAGCAACGCCGCGUGAGCGAAGAAGGCCUUCGGGUCGUAAAGCUCUGUUGUUAGGGAAGAACAAGUAACGUAGUAACUGACGUUACUAUGACGGUACCUAACGAGAAAGCCACGGCUAACCACGUG